Long non-coding RNA from Neofelis nebulosa (Clouded leopard), 592 nucleotides. RefSeq lists it as uncharacterized. The record is from RefSeq and is a predicted model, not a curated record. The transcript has 3 exons. NCBI's taxonomy places the organism in Eukaryota, Metazoa, Chordata, Mammalia, Carnivora, Felidae.
AGGAUGUAGGCUCUGUUGCCAAAGUCAAGAUGGCUGUUAACUGUUCCUGUCUCACUUUCCCCAAGCUCAGCAGUCCUAAUGGAUAGAGAACAUCUUUCCAGUUAAUGACCCUCUCAGGAAAGACAAAAGUUGACAUAGGAAAGAACGGUGGAUUUCCGGGUAUACAAAAGACUAAAGAAAUCCAGGACCCCACUGCCCAACUGUUGAACCAAGGUGUGAGCCACGCAAACGUCUGGCUAGAACUGGUAAAACAGCGACUCCGUGUGGUCAGAUAGAAGCACAGCCCAGCGCCCAGAGGGAGCCUCAUGAGCCCACAGUCUUGGCGCCGGCAGAUGAGCCGUUAGAUCUGUCAGUCAGAACGUCAAAUGAGGAAGGAAACAUAGCACCUUGCAAGUGUGAGAGGAAUUACUUUCUACCUUACAAAUGGGUCUUCCCUGUCCGCAGCUCAAGAUUUGAAGGCUGGAUGGCUUGUGCUCUCAAAGCAAAAAGGACAAAAGAAGGCUAGCCACAGGGCAUGGGUAAAGUUUGAGAUGUUUGCUGUGUCACUCCUUGGGAGGUAUGGAAGAUUUACAGAAAAAUCUUGUAAUCCUUA